GAGCUCGUAGGUGGUUUGUCGCGUUGUUCGUGAAAUCUCACGGCUUAACUGUGAGCGUGCGGGCGAUACGGGCAGACUUGAGUACUGCAGGGGAGACUGGAAUUCCUGGUGUAGCGGUGGAAUGCGCAGAUAUCAGGAGGAACACCGGUGGCGAAGGCGGGUCUCUGGGCAGUAACUGACGCUGAGGAGCGAAAGCGUGGGGAGCGAACAGGAUUAGAUACCCUGGUAGUCCACGCCGUAAACGGUGGGUACUAGGUGUGGGUUUCCUUCCUUGGGAUCCGUGCCGUAGCUAACGCAUUAAGUACCCCGCCUGGGGAGUACGGCCGCAAGGCUAAAACUCAAAGAAAUUGACGGGGGCCCGCACAAGCGGCGGAGCAUGUGGAUUAAUUCGAUGCAACGCGAAGAACCUUACCUGGGUUUGACAUGCACAGGACGCCGGCAGAGAUGUCGGUUCCCUUGUGGCCUGUGUGCAGGUGGUGCAUGGCUGUCGUCAGCUCGUGUCGUGAGAUGUUGGGUUAAGUCCCGCAACGAGCGCAACCCUUGUCUCAUGUUGCCAGCGGGUAAUGCCGGGGACUCGUGAGAGACUGCCGGGGUCAACUCGGAGGAAGGUGGGGAUGACGUCAAGUCAUCAUGCCCCUUAUGUCCAGGGCUUCACACAUGCUACAAUGGCCGGUACAAAGGGCUGCGAUGCCGCGAGGUUAAGCGAAUCCUUUUAAAGCCGGUCUCAGUUCGGAUCGGGGUCUGCAACUCGACCCCGUGAAGUCGGAGUCGCUAGUAAUCGCAGAUCAGCAACGCUGCG
RNAcentral lists this ribosomal RNA (799 nucleotides) under uncultured Mycobacterium sp. RNAcentral's name for it is "bacterial SSU rRNA". It matches the Rfam family "Bacterial small subunit ribosomal RNA", at positions 565 to 1361 of the family's 1533-position model. Lineage: Bacteria; Bacillati; Actinomycetota; Actinomycetes; Mycobacteriales; Mycobacteriaceae. The record is from RNAcentral.